AAAUGUAAAAAAUCAUUUAGGAUGAAAAUUUCAUUGAGGGAAUCUGGUUAGAAUCCAGAACGAUCCGGUCACUGUAAUUAGUUAUGUCUCCUUAAUAUGUCACUGGGCACGUAUUGUCUGGGAAGGCAAGGGGAAUAAACGCUAUAAGUCAGGAAACCUACUAAAAUGAUGUACUAAAG
This 179-nucleotide non-coding RNA is filed under the name Acetobacterium wieringae. The record is from RNAcentral. Lineage: Bacteria; Bacillati; Bacillota; Clostridia; Eubacteriales; Eubacteriaceae.